Long non-coding RNA from Drosophila sulfurigaster albostrigata, 659 nucleotides. RefSeq lists it as uncharacterized. The transcript has 3 exons. Lineage: Eukaryota; Metazoa; Arthropoda; Insecta; Diptera; Drosophilidae. The record is from RefSeq and is a predicted model, not a curated record.
CGUUAUUCUUGUUGAUUUUCUGUUUUCUUUUUUUUGUGUAUUUUUACUUGUUUUUUUCGUUAACCUUUUUCGUUUGCUUUCACUUUCGCCAAAGUUGGCAACACAAAAAUGCAAAAGCACCAGCUGCAAAAAUGUCGUGCGGCGCAUAAAAUUCACUUGAGCGAGUGCUGCCGAGAAAGUGAGCGAGAGGAGAACGGAGAGAAGAGAGGGGGACGGAAGCGCAGCAAGUGUUUGCCCAAGACAUAAAACAUUGUCGCAGCAUAAGAUGACACUUUCAAGCGGAGAGCGAAGGAGGCACAACGAGUGCACUUCCAAUCCCAUAAACUAUUCAUCAUGUGUGUGCAGAUAUACAUAUAUAUUCAUGAUCCAAACAGCAGCCGCAGAAGCAGCAACAGCAACAGCAGCACUAGCAACAGUCGUGUCGUGUUAGACGUGGCAGACAACAUGAGCGACAAGUAGACAGACAGAUUGAGAGCUAUAGACGGGAAGCGCAUGGAGACACAUUCAUUGCUCAGAACGUGUUGAGUGCCUCGACAUUUGCAGCCUGCAUUUGGAUUAUUUGUAAGCUAUGUAUAAUCAUAGUAGGUUCAUUGCACGGACGCCACUGUGAUCUGCAGCUACCUAGAGAAAGCAGUUUGUACUGUGAUGUUAGCAAGCAG